Molecule: long non-coding RNA, 233 nt
Filed under: Ananas comosus (pineapple)
Lineage: Eukaryota; Viridiplantae; Streptophyta; Magnoliopsida; Poales; Bromeliaceae
Description: long non-coding RNA (ACOM_LNC018562)
Source: RNAcentral
AUUAUAGAUUGAGAGGUAUAAAUUGCGAGAUAAGAAUAGAGAUUUUGACCGACUGUCCCAAUCGCAAGUGGCAAAAGAUUUGGUAGUUGAUAUCCGAGGUUCCGAGUUCGAAUUCUAAUUGAUUCACAUUUUCAGCUAAGUUUAAUACUAAAUAAAAUAAAUGAAGCGGAUAACAUACUAUUUAUUUCCCAGAAAAAAAAAAAGAAUAAAGAUUUUGUUAUUCGGUUGAUUUU